ACACUCCUACGGGAGGCAGCAGUGGGGAAUUUUGGACAAUGGGCGCAAGCCUGAUCCAGCCAUGCCGCGUGCGGGAAGAAGGCCUUCGGGUUGUAAACCGCUUUUGUCAGGGAAGAAAAGGUUCUGGCUAAUACCUGGGACUCAUGACGGUACCUGAAGAAUAAGCACCGGCUAACUACGUGCCAGCAGCCGCGGUAAUACGUAGGGUGCAAGCGUUAAUCGGAAUUACUGGGCGUAAAGCGUGCGCAGGCGGUUAUGCAAGACAGAGGUGAAAUCCCCGGGCUCAACCUGGGAACUGCCUUUGUGACUGCAUGGCUAGAGUACGGUAGAGGGGGAUGGAAUUCCGCGUGUAGCAGUGAAAUGCGUAGAUAUGCGGAGGAACACCGAUGGCGAAGGCAAUCCCCUGGACCUGUACUGACGCUCAUGCACGAAAGCGUGGGGAGCAAACAGGAUUAGAAACCCCUGUAGUCCCAUGAU
Molecule: ribosomal RNA, 477 nt
Filed under: uncultured organism
Description: partial 16S ribosomal RNA
Rfam family: Bacterial small subunit ribosomal RNA
Source: RNAcentral